This is a long non-coding RNA of Symphalangus syndactylus (siamang), 903 nucleotides long. RefSeq lists it as uncharacterized. NCBI's taxonomy places the organism in Eukaryota, Metazoa, Chordata, Mammalia, Primates, Hylobatidae. The record is from RefSeq and is a predicted model, not a curated record.
GUGAGCUGUGGAGGAUCCUUCCAUUCGUGGCUCCAGGAAGAAUUGAAGCAGCUCACAAAACCCAGAAGCCUGAAAAGUCAAAAACCCGGAAGUCUGGCCGGAUGUGGUGGCCGGAUGUGGUGCUGUAAUCCUAGCACUUUUGGAGGCUGAGGAGGGAGGAUUGCUUAAGCCAGGAGUUCAAGACCAGCCUGGGCAACAUAGUGAGAUUCCACCUCUACAAAAAAUAAAAAUAAACAAAUUAGCUGGAUGUCAUAGUACACGCCUGCAGUCCCAGCUAUUUGAAAGGCUGAGGCAAGGAGGAUUGCUUGAACCCAAGAGGUUGAGGAUGCAGUGAGCUAUGAUCACACCACUGCACUCCAGCUUGGGUGACAGAGCAAGACCUUGUCUCAAACAACAACAAAACCCAGAAGUCUGAAAAGUUACAACGUGAAAGAGGGAAGUGAAGGGAAAAAUCAUGGUAGGAAAGAAUGAAGCCAGCAGUCCCCACUCACUGAGCUAGAAGACCUGGAACACUAGACAGAGGUGGUUCUGAGCUCUCUAGUGGCUGAGGAGAGGAGUGAAAGCGGACCCCAGCCCCUGAUCCAGCAUGGGAGGAUGAAAGCAAGGCCAUUGUUCUGGAGACACUUUCUGGUUGUCAUCAUACAGGCUCCCUGGAGGAUGUGUCUCCUUCCCCUUCAGAAUUUAGCUCUUCUACUUCCCCUGGGCUGGUGUGGAUACAUUGUCUGUGCUUUGACUCAAGUCCCUAGAUCCCAUUUGUUCUAGAACCCUCUCUCCCAAAGCAGACCUUUUUUUUUUUUUUCCUGUUUUCUGUUUUUUAAAUCUAUCUCAGCCUCUUGACAAGCAAUAAGAUUUGGAAUAUUUGUUAAGGGGAUAAAUAAAUGAACUCCUUAGUCAGUGCAGAGA